Molecule: ribosomal RNA, 505 nt
Filed under: uncultured bacterium
Lineage: Bacteria
Description: partial 16S ribosomal RNA
Rfam family: Bacterial small subunit ribosomal RNA
Source: RNAcentral
GACGAACGCUGGCGGCGUGCCUAAUACAUGCAAGUAGAACGCACAGUUUAUACCGUAGCUUGCUACACCAUAGACUGUGAGUUGCGAACGGGUGAGUAACGCGUAGGUAACCUGCCUGGUAGCGGGGGAUAACUAUUGGAAACGAUAGCUAAUACCGCAUAAUAUUAAUUAUUGCAUGAUAAUUAAUUGAAAGGUGCAAUUGCACCACUACCAGAUGGACCUGCGUUGUAUUAGCUAGUAGGUGAGGUAACGGCUCACCUAGGCGACGAUACAUAGCCGACCUGAGAGGGUGAUCGGCCACACUGGGACUGAGACACGGCCCAGACUCCUACGGGAGGCAGCAGUAGGGAAUCUUCGGCAAUGGACGAAAGUCUGACCGAGCAACGCCGCGUGAGUGAAGAAGGUUUUCGGAUCGUAAAGCUCUGUUGUAAGAGAAGAACGGGUGUGAGAGUGGAAAGUUCACACUGUGACGGUAUUUUACCAGAAAGGGACGGCUAACUACGUG